Molecule: long non-coding RNA, 621 nt
Organism: Canis lupus familiaris (dog)
Lineage: Eukaryota; Metazoa; Chordata; Mammalia; Carnivora; Canidae
Exons: 4
Source: RefSeq, a predicted model, not a curated record
UUUAACUGACCAAUGCCAGAUCACUUCCUGAAAUCACACACUUUCUCACAGAUCAUAUUAUCCCAUGAAUUUUCAUCAAAACUCUUAAAAUUAACUGAAAUAUUUAAUUUUUCAUCAAAUUUUAGCUCCUAACAGGAUGAUUUCAUGGGAGUAGGGACUUAGUUGUUUUAUUUUUAUUCACAAAACUCUUGAUGUAUAUAAAUUUGAAUAAAAAUAUUAUUAAAAAUACUAUAGCAUUGACAUCAUUAUCCUGUUUUUACAGAUAAAGGAAAUACAUGUUAGGUGAAGUAUAUUUCCAAUUUCACAGGCCUGCUAGUAGAAUCAAAGAAGUUAUGAAAAGCUGGAAAAUCGAAGAUGAUAAAGAAGGAACAGGGCCAUUAGAAACGACAAAUACCCACCAUUUGCUUUGACGUGGAUGGACCUGGAGGGUAUUAUGCUGAAUGAAAUGAUGCCCUGGUUUAGAGAUAUCUGAUGGCCUGAGUGCCUCAAUCGGUUAAGCAUCUGCCUUCAGCUGGAGUCAUGAUUCCAGUGUCCUGUGAUGAAGCCUGGUGUCAGGCUCUCUGCUCACUGAGGAGCCUGCUUCUCCCUCUCUCAGUGCCCCUCAACCUUGUCCCCACUUGU